Molecule: transfer RNA, 67 nt
Filed under: Potamyia horvati
Lineage: Eukaryota; Metazoa; Arthropoda; Insecta; Trichoptera; Hydropsychidae
Description: tRNA-His
Source: RNAcentral
AUUUAAAUAAUUUAAUUAAAAUGUUGAUUUGUGGGGUCAAAUUUGUUUAGAAUAUAAACUUUAAAUU